AUAAAUUGAUUAUUCUGUCUCCUCCUCCUCCUCCAUAUUUCCAAAAAAGUUUCAGCAAUUUCUUCUCAGAAGCUUUCCCUCGAUCAGAAGAAGAGGAAUGGCUUUCAGGGUUUUUCCGAUAUGCUUGAUUCUCUUGGCGGUUCAAUUUUCGGUAUCAAGGGCUCUGAUCUCCUCUCCAGAUUUCAAACCUCCGUAUCCUAAAGCAU
Molecule: long non-coding RNA, 206 nt
Filed under: Panax ginseng (ginseng)
Lineage: Eukaryota; Viridiplantae; Streptophyta; Magnoliopsida; Apiales; Araliaceae
Description: long non-coding RNA (PGIN_LNC015299)
Source: RNAcentral